UACGUAGGGAGCAAGCGUUGUCCGGAAUCAUUGGGCGUAAAGCGCGCGUAGGUGGCUUCAUAAGUCCGUUGUGAAAGUCAAAGGCUCAACCUUUGAAAGCCGAUGGAUACUGUGGAGCUAGAGUACGGAAGAGGCGAGUGGAAUUCCUGGUGUAGCGGUGGAAUGCGCAGAUAUCAGGAGGAACACCGGUGGCGAAGGCGGGAUCCUGGGCCAGUACUGACGCUGAGGAGCGAAAGCGUGGGGAGCAAACAGG
This 253-nucleotide ribosomal RNA is filed under the name uncultured bacterium. RNAcentral's name for it is "partial 16S ribosomal RNA". It matches the Rfam family "Bacterial small subunit ribosomal RNA", at positions 524 to 776 of the family's 1533-position model. The record is from RNAcentral.